GAUGAACGCUGGCGGCGUGCCUAAUACAUGCAAGUCGAGCGAACGGACGAGAAGCUUGCUUCUCUGAUGUUAGCGGCGGACGGGUGAGUAACACGUGGAUAACCUACCUAUAAGACUGGGAUAACUUCGGGAAACCGUAGCUAAUACCGGAUAAUAUUUUGAACCGCAUGGUUCAAAAGUGAAAGACGGUCUUGCUGUCACUUAUAGAUGGAUCCGCGCUGCAUUAGCUAGUUGGUAAGGUAACGGCUUACCAAGGCAACGAUGCAUAGCCGACCUGAGAGGGUGAUCGGCCACACUGGAACUGAGACACGGUCCAGACUCCUACGGGAGGCAGCAUUAGGGAAUCUUCCGCAAUGGGCGAAAGCCUGACGGAGCAACGCCGCGUGAGUGAUGAAGGUCUUCGGAUCGUAAAACUCUGUUAUUAGGGAAGAACAUAUGUGUAAGUAACUGUGCACAUCUUGACGGUACCUAAUCAGAAAGCCACGGCUAACUACGUG
RNAcentral lists this ribosomal RNA (497 nucleotides) under uncultured bacterium. RNAcentral's name for it is "partial 16S ribosomal RNA". It matches the Rfam family "Bacterial small subunit ribosomal RNA", at positions 28 to 507 of the family's 1533-position model. The record is from RNAcentral.